RNAcentral lists this ribosomal RNA (460 nucleotides) under uncultured bacterium. Its description in RNAcentral is "partial 16S ribosomal RNA". It matches the Rfam family "Bacterial small subunit ribosomal RNA", at positions 338 to 795 of the family's 1533-position model. The record is from RNAcentral.
CCUACGGGUGGCAGCAGUGAGGAAUAUUGGUCAAUGGGCGGGAGCCUGAACCAGCCAAGUCGCGUGAGGGAAGACGGUCCUAUGGAUUGUAAACCUCUUUAGGCGGGGAGCAAUGCCGGGCACGCGUGCCCGGAGGGAGAGUACCCGCAGACUAAGCAUCGGCUAACUCAGUGCCAGAAGCCGCGGUAAUACGGAGGAUGUGAGCGUUAUCCGGAUUUAUCGGGUUUAGAGGGUGCGUGGGCGGAUUUUUAAGGCAGCGGUAAAAUGUCCGGGCUCAACCCGGGCCGGCCGUUGAAACAGGGGAUCUUGAGUGGGCGAGAAGUAUGCGGAAGGCGUGGUGUAGCGGUGAAAUGCAUAGAUAUCACGCAGAACUUCGAUUGCGAAGGCAGCAUACCGGCGCCCGACUGACGCUGAGGCACGAAAGCGUGGGGAUCGAACAGGAUUAGAUACCCUUGUAGUC